GAAGAAACUGCAUGUUUCUAUCUUUUUCUCAUCUUACCGCUUUCCUUUAUUCUUCUCCAGUUCACUCAGGUAAAAUCUAAAUAUUUUAACGUUUCCGCUGUCUUGUGUCGGACAUUUAAGAAGGAGUAAGUUGCACGGGACCGGUGUUGGCUUGGCCGGGGUAACACCGACGCAGAAGUGACUGUCGACGGCUGGUUUCAGUGUUAGUGAGAGUACUUUGGGUUUUGACGGUCAUUUUAUGGCUGACGUGUUUUCUCCUGCUUUCUAUAGAAUGAUAGAGUCCCAGGGCAUGUUGUUUCCAGGGUAAUUGGACCUGGAACUGGCUGUAUUCUUGAACAGGCCUUGUCAGGAUUCAGGUUGGAGUGAGGGAUCUUUCCAGAGACGAGCUACGCGGAGGAGUUUGACAGCCUGACGCACCUGCAUUGGAUUCCGGUAACCAGCGGCUGGCUUCUUAAGAAGCGGUGGAACCACCAGUCAUCGCUCGAUGGUUACCACUUGUUGAUCUUGAUCCCGCUUCCCGGAGCCAAGCCUGGAACUCCACCGGUCAGGCGCGUCUCGUUGGUGGGCACCUCCAAACAGUUCUGAUCCGCUGCGGCCCGGGACCCCCGAACCUACCUGGACUCUCGUUCCCUCCUGACGUCCCCCAGUCUCAAUUCUACCUCAUUAAAACAAACCCUCGUAACCGUAAAAAUCUGUUCUUCUGUGCGCACCUGCAUGUGGGCAAGGAAAUUAAAAUCCGACAUGACAGGCCUGUCACGAUAACAAAUUUUACUGAACGAUUAAUUGUCUCAAAAAUUAUUGCGAUAAACGAUAAUAUUGU
Molecule: long non-coding RNA, 820 nt
Organism: Xiphophorus maculatus (southern platyfish)
Lineage: Eukaryota; Metazoa; Chordata; Actinopteri; Cyprinodontiformes; Poeciliidae
Exons: 4
Source: RefSeq, a predicted model, not a curated record